UACGAAGGGGGCUAGCGUUGUUCGGAAUCACUGGGCGUAAAGCGCACGCAGGCGGAUCGUUAAGUCAGGGGUGAAAUCCCGAGGCUCAACCUCGGAACUGCCUUUGAUACUGGCGAUCUUUGAGUCCGGGAGAGGUGAGUGGAACUCCGAGUGUAGAGGUGAAAUUCGUAGAUAUUCGGAAGAACACCAGUGGCGAAGGCGGCUCACUGGCCCGGUACUGACGCUCAGGCGCGAUAGCGUGGGGAUCAAACAGG
RNAcentral lists this ribosomal RNA (254 nucleotides) under uncultured bacterium. RNAcentral describes it as "partial 16S ribosomal RNA". It matches the Rfam family "Bacterial small subunit ribosomal RNA", at positions 524 to 776 of the family's 1533-position model. The record is from RNAcentral.